Panicum virgatum (switchgrass) is the source of this 477-nucleotide long non-coding RNA. RefSeq lists it as uncharacterized. The transcript is spliced from 4 exons. The record is from RefSeq and is a predicted model, not a curated record. Lineage: Eukaryota; Viridiplantae; Streptophyta; Magnoliopsida; Poales; Poaceae.
CUGUCUAGGUUGACCCCAAGUCUGCCGCAUGGAAGCAGGGCAUUAGAAGUGGGAAUGUGAUUGUUUCCUUUGAUGAGCAGCCUCCUAAACCUCUGCUGGAGUUUGAAGUUUUUCUAUUGUCUCUUGGUUUAAAGCACCUCCAUGGGACACACACAGAGGUUGAUUUCAAGCUGUAAGUUCAAGAUCCCGACAAUGUUCAGAGAAGCAUUACCUUGCAUGUUCCAUUCUCUGAUGUUGCCAAUGUUCUGAGCUGAGUGCUGUCGUGCGUGCUGUGUCAUAUACUCAUAUGCUCUUCUGCAUCCUGACUUUGUUUUUGUGUAUGUGCGUUGCAGAACAAGUAUGUUGAAUAGUCGGGGUCUCCAUACCAUUGUACUUUUACGGCUGGAGUGUAACAUUUCGAAUGAGAAAUAGGACUGACAGAAUAUGUAAUCUCUCAGCUGGAAUAGUAAAUUUCUGGAGCUUGACUAGCUUGAUUAA